AGAGUUUGAUCAUGGCUCAGAUUGGACGCUGGCGGCAUGCUUAAUACAUCCAAGUCGAACGGUAACAGAUUCUUCGGAAUGCUGACGAGUGGCGGACGGGUGAGUAAUACAUAGGAAUCUGCCCAUGUAGUGGGGGACAACUUGGGGAAACUCAAGCUAAUACCGCAUAAUUCCUCCGGGAUAAAGAGGGCCACUGCUUGCAAGCUCUUGCUACUGGAUGAGCCUAUGUCGGAUUAGUUAGUUGGUAAGGUAAUGGCUUCCCAAGACAGCGAUCCGUAGCUGGUUUGAGAGGAUGAUCAGCCACACUGGGACUGAGACACGGCCCAGACUCCUACGGGAGGCAGUAGUAGGGAGUAUUGGACAAUGGGCGCAAGCCUGAUCCAGCAAUGCCGCGUGUGUGAAGAAGGCCUGCGGGUUGUAAAGCACUUUCAAUUGGGAAGAAAGAUUAUGAGUUAAUACCUUAUAAUAUUGAC
Molecule: ribosomal RNA, 473 nt
Filed under: uncultured bacterium
Lineage: Bacteria
Description: bacterial SSU rRNA
Rfam family: Bacterial small subunit ribosomal RNA
Source: RNAcentral